Carlito syrichta (Philippine tarsier) is the source of this 1077-nucleotide RNA transcript. It is a transcript of the gene named ubiquitin-conjugating enzyme E2 variant 2 pseudogene, with no coding region annotated. The record is from RefSeq and is a predicted model, not a curated record. The transcript has a single exon. NCBI's taxonomy places the organism in Eukaryota, Metazoa, Chordata, Mammalia, Primates, Tarsiidae.
CACUGGCCGUGCGUGCGGCCGGCUGCGUCGGGCUGCAGGAGAAGAUGGCGGUCUCCACAGACAAAUUAUGAAAACAGAAUAUAUAGCCUGAAAGUAGAAUGUGGACCUAAAUACCCAGAAGCUCCUCCAUCAGUUAGAUUUGUAACAAAGAUUAAUAUGAAUGGAAUAAAUAAUUCCAGUGGGAUGGUGGAUGCACGGAGCAUACCAGUGUUAGCAAAAUGGCAAAAUUCAUAUAGCAUUAAAGUUGUACUCCAGGAGCUAAGACGUCUAAUGAUGUCCAAAGAAAAUAUGAAGCUUCCACAGCCUCCAGAAGGACAAACAUACAAUAAUUAAUUUUAGUGGAUCUCAAACUUGUCUUAAAUCAGCAACCUUUUACUCAUGUUAAUGUCUUGAUUAAAUAUCACAAUGCGAAAUACCCACACAUUAAGUAAAAGAAUUCCAGCUGGUAAACAUGACCUGGACAUUUGUAAGAAUAUAUUUAAUAUAUGUACACCCAUUAUGUUUUCAGGUAACAGGAGGAAAAAUGCGGCGUACUUUUUUUUCUCUUGUUAAGGCACUGUCAUUUAAACAUAAGCCUGGAGUACCCGAAAGAGAAUUCAGGUUGACAAGAUGAAAGCGUAGUGAGAAGUGUCAGCUGGCAGUGGAAGCAUGUGUGUUUCUGAAAAGUAAAAGUCUCAAGAAAGAAAAACAGAAAUGGCAGGCUUUAUCCAUCUUGCUUAGUGAAAGAGCUGCAGUUGAAAUUGUUUAAAGUAGCAGGUAUAAUGAAUAUCGUCAUAAAUGUUAAUUUUUGAAGCGGUAUGGGUGCUGACUACUAGUAGUAUCAAAAAUAUGUUCAGGAUUGUUUUGAUACCUGUAUUUAUAAUAAAAAAUGUUGGGGGGAUUGAUGAAUUUCUGUUAAAAGCUAUUCCUGUGUGUUACAUGUAACAGACAUGGUAAAUAUUUGUUUACAGUCUUUGUUUAACAAACCAUGCGUUUAAGUUUAAGUGAAGUAAACAUAAAGGAAAUAGGUGUAUGGAUAUGUGAUUUUGAGAUUAAAGUUAGUCUUAAAAUGUAAAUAAAAUGUGGAAUGUGUCCUCA